RNAcentral lists this ribosomal RNA (1003 nucleotides) under Desulfobacterales bacterium. Its description in RNAcentral is "partial 23S ribosomal RNA". It matches the Rfam family "Bacterial large subunit ribosomal RNA", at positions 1823 to 2644 of the family's 2925-position model. Lineage: Bacteria; Pseudomonadati; Thermodesulfobacteriota; Desulfobacteria; Desulfobacterales. The record is from RNAcentral.
ACGCCACUACGAGUCUGGGGUUGUGUGUGGACGACCAAACCUUCUCGGCAUCGUAACGAUCGAGAGAUCGGCCGACAUGGAAGGUGUGGUCCCUGAACUGACGAGGAUCCACGUGUUUGCUGCAUCCGCAGCCGGCACCAGGGACCGACGAUGUUCAGUAGGGAUCCUCAGAGACUGUACGCCAGGCGCUGCACGAGAAGCGGCGAUGAUACAGUCCGAUCCUCAUGGCGACAUGGGGAGCCCGGCAGAAAUGACCGGGCCCGUUCCUCCACGUAAUGAAUUCCACGUGGAGUGCGAAGUAACAAUCAUGCCUAAGGUAGCGAAAUUCCUUGUCGGGUAAGUUCCGACCUGCACGAAUGGCGCAACGACUUGGGCGCUGUCUCAACCAGAGACUCGGCGAAAUUGCAGUGUGAGUAAAGAUGCUCACUUCCUGCGACAGGACGGAAAGACCCCGGGACCUUUACUGCAGCUUGACAUUGGAGUUCGUUAUGUGAUGUGUAGGAUAGGUGGGAGACCGUGAAGCGGUGGCGCUAGUCAUCGUGGAGUCAACCUUGAAAUACCACCCUUCUCAUAAUGGUCUUCUAACCUCGAUCCGUUAUCCGGAUCAGGGACAGUGUCUGGCGGGCAGUUUCACUGGGGUGGUGGCCUCCUAAAAUGUAACGGAGGCGCCCAAAGGUUCUCUCAGUCUGGUCGGCAAUCAGACGUUGAGUGCAAGGGCACAAGAGAGCUUGACUGCGAGACCUACAAGUCGAGCAGGUUCGAAAGAAGGGCCUAGUGAUCCCUCGGCGGCAUGUGGGUGCGCCGAGGCCAACGGCUAAAAGGUACCCCGGGGAUAACAGGCUUAUCCUGCCCAAGAGUCCAUAUCGACGGCAGGGCUUGGCACCUCGAUGUCGGCUCGUCUCAUCCUGGGGCUGAAGCAGGUCCCAAGGGUCGGGCUGUUCGCCCGUUAAAGAGGCACGCGAGCUGGGUUUAGAACGUCGUGAGACAGUUCGGUCCCUAUCCG